RNAcentral lists this ribosomal RNA (254 nucleotides) under uncultured bacterium. RNAcentral's name for it is "partial 16S ribosomal RNA". It matches the Rfam family "Bacterial small subunit ribosomal RNA", at positions 524 to 776 of the family's 1533-position model. The record is from RNAcentral.
CACGUAGGGCGCAAGGCGUUGUCCGGAAUUAUUGGGCGUAAAGAGCGUGUAGGCGGCCAGACAGGUCCGUUGUGAAAACUCGAGGCUCAACCUCGAGAUGUCGAUGGAAACCGUCUGGCUAGAGUCCGGAAGAGGAGUGUGGAAUUCCUGGUGUAGCGGUGAAAUGCGCAGAUAUCAGGAAGAACACCUAUGGCGAAGGCAGCACUCUGGGACGGUACUGACGCUGAGACGCGAAAGCGUGGGGAGCGAACAGG